UACGGGGGGGGCAAGCGUUGUUCGGAAUUACUGGGCGUAAAGGGCUCGUAGGCGGCCAACUAAGUCGGAUGUGAAAUCCCCAGGCUUAACCUGGGAACUGCAUCCGAUACUGGAUGGCUUGAAUCCGGGAGAGGGAUGCAGAAUUCCAGGUGUAGCGGUGAAAUGCGUAGAUAUCUGGAGGAAUACCGGUGGCGAAGGCGGCAUCCUGGACCGGCAUUGACGCUGAUGAGCGAAAGCGUGGGGGGCAAACAGG
This 253-nucleotide ribosomal RNA is filed under the name uncultured bacterium. RNAcentral's name for it is "partial 16S ribosomal RNA". It matches the Rfam family "Bacterial small subunit ribosomal RNA", at positions 524 to 776 of the family's 1533-position model. The record is from RNAcentral.